Molecule: long non-coding RNA, 664 nt
Organism: Homo sapiens (human)
Lineage: Eukaryota; Metazoa; Chordata; Mammalia; Primates; Hominidae
Exons: 3
Source: RefSeq, a predicted model, not a curated record
UAAGUGGAAGUGGAUCAUCAUAAAGGUCUUCAUUCUCAUCUUCACGUUGAGUAGGCUGAGGGAGGUCAGGAAGAGGAGGCGGAAGAGGAGGGAGGACAGACAGGUACUCCUGAAGUAAUUUUACAGAAAUAUAUUUUAAUCCUGAGUUUUUACUUUUCCAUUUCUCUAAAAUUGUUUCUAUACAGUACCAACUCUUCUUUUACCAUUUGCUUUAGUUUCAGUGCCCGUGUCAUAGAGGAUUCCAUGUCAUAAAAGAAUUCAAAUCAGUCUUGAAUAAUUGGAGCCUUUCUAUCAGAUUCUCUCAUGUCAAUUUGUUUUCCUGCACUGCUUCCUCUAUGUCUUCUUCCUGGUUGUCUGGCACUGGUUUGAAAGCAUUUAUCUCUAUCAGGAUUUUCUUCCACAGUGUUGACAAUCCUCUCCAUAGAGUACCAUGUGUAAUAAACCUUAAAGGUCCUUAUGGCCCCCAUCUAGAGGCUGAAUUAGAGACAGUUUCAGGUUCACCAACAUACAAGAAACAAAGAAGCAUGAGACAGACUCUCAGACCCUUGUAUCUUUUCUAUAUAAAAAGAACUGAAAUGCAGUAUGUACUCCACUUGGGAUUUCCCAAGUUCACAUAAUUAAAUGAUUGAAAAAAUUAGUAUUAUUUUAUGUUUAAAGAAUACAA